GACGAACGCUGGCGGCGUGCUUAACACAUGCAAGUCGAACGGAAAGGCCCUGCUUUUGUGGGGUGCUCGAGUGGCGAACGGGUGAGUAUCACGUGAGUAACCUGCCCUUGACUUUGGGAUAACUUCAGGAAACUGGGGCUAAUACCGGAUAGGAGCUCCUGAUGCAUGGUGGGGGUUGGAAAGUUUCGGCGGUUGGGGAUGGACUCGCGGCUUAUCAGCUUGUUGGUGGGGUAGUGGCUUACCAAGGCUUUGACGGGUAGCCGGCCUGAGAGGGUGACCGGCCACAUUGGGACUGAGGUACGGCCCAGACUCCUACGGGAGGCAGCAGUGGGGAAUAUUGCACAAUGGGCGGAAGCCUGAUGCAGCAACGCCGCGUGCGGGAUGACGGCCUUCGGGUUGUAAACCGCUUUCGCCUGUGACGAAGCGUGAGUGACGGUAAUGGGUAAAGAAGCACCGGCUAACUACGUG
This 468-nucleotide ribosomal RNA is filed under the name uncultured bacterium. Its description in RNAcentral is "partial 16S ribosomal RNA". It matches the Rfam family "Bacterial small subunit ribosomal RNA", at positions 28 to 507 of the family's 1533-position model. The record is from RNAcentral.